GAACUACUACUAAAGAUACAUCUGAACCGCAGCGUGUGUGGCUUCCUAGCUCUGCACUACCUGUAGUUUAGAAAUAGUGCGCAGUCAGUUUAGAGAGCUAGUGUGGGAAGUUCAGAUAUAAAAACUCAUGUUGGUGCUAGACUAUAUUACUUAACCGCUGCUGUGCAUGAUUUUUUUUGUAAAUAUUUACAUUUGGUUAACGAGUUGGGUUAAACCCAUUGCGAAGUUCGCAUUUAAUUUUUGGGAAGUUCUGUUGGUCCAAUUAACCUUAUUGUGAAAAUUUGUUUUUAAAUUCGCAAGUUGGUUUCGCUCCAGAUCUACUCACAGUUCACUUUGUUCAAAAUGGCAAGUUCACUCUUUUUAUUUUGCGGGAGUCCAUUUCAUGUGCAUCAUAUACAUCAGGGAAGUGCACUCCAUACAUCCCGGGCAGUUCACUCUGUGUGAUAAAAUUUUAGAAUGUUAAAGUAAAUCAUUGCACUUGCAAAUACCUUCAGUCUGGACACAAAUAGGUAUAGUUGUGACAAAGUUCUAAGAAGUUGCUACCGAGUUUCUGUGCUCGAACCUGAAGGCAAACAAAUGUUAGUUUCUUGAUUAUUACUAGUCUUUUGUUGGUCUCAUCGUAGUACCAGGCUACCAGCCAUUAAGGAAGAGGCCUCGAAGAACCCUCGGCCACCAUCACAUACACCAGCAGAAAUGUCAUGUCGAUCCAACCAUUACGGCGCUAAUAGCUGGUGUAGGUUAAGGAUGUCCACCUUGAUAGAUGUCACAUUUCGGCAAUGAAAUCUUCGAACAUUUCUCACACUCAAACUUAGUUCAUUUCUCCUAAUCCGUGGAGUUCAUUUCUCCUAAUUCGUGAGGUUCACAUCUUCUGCUACUUUAGUUUAGAUAUUCUUGCUAGAUUGACUAUUAUUUUAUUUCUUAUUGAUAGUGUAAAGUUCCAUGUGCAUAAAUGUAGCUACAAUGGGGGUUCACUCGCGUAUCCUCGACAGUCCAGCGGGCUUCACAUCGCUCUCUACAGCUCCAUCUUUAGGAAGUGCGCACUUAUGUUCUAUAGCAGUUCAUUGUCAAUGAUGGUUGGCAAUCGACACGCAACCAACAGGAAGUCAAUCCGAAAAGAGUGAAGAAGUUUGGAGAAGUUGUGAACCUCAUCAACGUCAUGGUAGUCACCCGCGACGAGGGCAGUGCGUAGAGGCAGGCUUGCACAGCAGUAGGUGUUGUCUGUCAGGGUAGCAGCUUGGGUGAUGAAUUCAACAAGACUUGUAGAGCUUGGCUGGAAGACACUAUAAUAUUUUUGAAUUAGCUCAUGUAUUUAGGGGAGAAGUUUUUCUGCACUUCAACGUUGCUGUGUAGGAUUCGUACUGUCUUCUUGAGUAAAUAAUGGUCUGCAUUCAUGUGUUAUUUACCAUUCUUGAAUAAAAAUAGUGGAUUGCCCAGUUCUAGAGGUUGAUUACCGGCCACUGCCGUGGUUGUUCUGCUACCUAGGGUUCACCUUUGUAAAGCUGUAAGUUCACACUAAAUGCACCAAAAGUUCACCUCGAACAUG
Molecule: long non-coding RNA, 1543 nt
Organism: Lolium perenne
Lineage: Eukaryota; Viridiplantae; Streptophyta; Magnoliopsida; Poales; Poaceae
Source: RefSeq, a predicted model, not a curated record